Molecule: ribosomal RNA, 294 nt
Filed under: Salmonella enterica subsp. enterica serovar Lubbock
Lineage: Bacteria; Pseudomonadati; Pseudomonadota; Gammaproteobacteria; Enterobacterales; Enterobacteriaceae
Description: partial 23S ribosomal RNA
Rfam family: Bacterial large subunit ribosomal RNA
Source: RNAcentral
CCAGACAGCCAGGAUGUUGGCUUAGAAGCAGCCAUCAUUUAAAGAAAGCGUAAUAGCUCACUGGUCGAGUCGGCCUGCGCGGAAGAUGUAACGGGGCUAAACCAUGCACCGAAGCUGCGGCAGCGACACUGUGUGUUGUUGGGUAGGGGAGCGUUCUGUAAGCCUGUGAAGGUGGCCUGUGAGGGUUGCUGGAGGUAUCAGAAGUGCGAAUGCUGACAUAAGUAACGAUAAAGCGGGUGAAAAGCCCGCUCGCCGGAAGACCAAGGGUUCCUGUCCAACGUUAAUCGGGGCAGG